Molecule: long non-coding RNA, 515 nt
Organism: Chelonus insularis
Lineage: Eukaryota; Metazoa; Arthropoda; Insecta; Hymenoptera; Braconidae
Exons: 2
Source: RefSeq, a predicted model, not a curated record
UUCGGUUUUUUAAAGUACCAGUCGUUUUCGUUUCAAGUCGAUCGAAACAUGAAGAGGACUAGGGACAUGUACCGAAGAGGAGAGAAGAGAUGGUGAGAGAACUACUGGCGGCCAUCUACCCUUCCAACCAGACGAGAAGAUGGAUUCUCCGAGCGUGUAUUGCGGAAAAUGGAUGAUGACGAAGAGUGACAAACCGUGGAACCCUAAAAAAUGGAAAAUUUCUACUUAUCCUCAAGGAUUGUUUCGCAAGGGCAUGGACAAGGGAUCAAAAAGGUGACUCAAAGCACACAGUUCACAGGCCAGUUGGCGGAAGUUCAUUACGUCAAUUCGUAUAUAAAUAGUGAAAUGACCGCAAUUAUACGGUCAGAUAUGACGAACUGCAAGUGUGUUCGUAUACACGUGCGCAAGGGUACGCACACGUGUUUCUUCGUGUAUCUACUUAUCUGUACACACAAUUUACUUGUGUUUCCAGUGACAAGAGAUUGAAUAUUUUACUUAAAUUUGGUGUUGAAGUA